This 235-nucleotide ribosomal RNA is filed under the name uncultured Actinomycetales bacterium. Its description in RNAcentral is "partial 16S ribosomal RNA". It matches the Rfam family "Bacterial small subunit ribosomal RNA", at positions 96 to 334 of the family's 1533-position model. Lineage: Bacteria; Bacillati; Actinomycetota; Actinomycetes; Actinomycetales. The record is from RNAcentral.
UGGCGAACGGGUGAGUAACACGUGGGUGAUCUGCCCUGCACUCUGGGAUAAGCCUGGGAAACUGGGUCUAAUACCGGAUAGGACCAUGCUAUAGUGUGUGUGGUGGAAAGUUUUUUCGGUGUAGGAUGAGCCCGCGGCCUAUCAGCUUGUUGGUGGGGUAAUGGCCUACCAAGGCGGCGACGGGUAGCCGGACUGAGAGGUUGGUCGGCCACAUUGGGACUGAGAUACGGCCCAG